Unclassified non-coding RNA from Fukomys damarensis (Damara mole-rat), 266 nucleotides. Its record names the gene 7SK. It matches the Rfam family "7SK RNA". Rfam says of the family: 7SK was discovered as an abundant small nuclear RNA in the mid-70s but a possible function has only recently been suggested. Two independent studies have found that 7SK RNA binds the CDK9/cyclin T complex (known as elongation factor P-TEFb). The record is from Ensembl. NCBI's taxonomy places the organism in Eukaryota, Metazoa, Chordata, Mammalia, Rodentia, Bathyergidae.
GGAUGUGGGAAUGAUCUGGCCGUGACAUCUGUCACUCUACUGAUGCAGCUGAUAUGGCUGGCUGGGCGGGUGUCCCCUUCCUCGCUUACUGUGCCACGUGCAUUCUUCCCGAAGGUGCACACUCCUUCUCUGGUGGAGGACCACCAUUUCUGUGGUCAAGGGAGUGCUUGUGCUCCCCUGUGAGAACCUCCAGAUGAGCUCUCAGGAAUGCAAAGGAAAAAGAAGGAAAAUAGGACCUUAAAGAUCAAGAGGAAAUCUUUCUUUUU